UACGGAGGGUGCAAGCGUUAUCCGGAUUCACUGGGUUUAAAGGGCGCGUAGGCGGCCAGCGCAAGUCGGUUGUGAAAUCUCCGGGCUUAACUCGGAAAGGUCAACUGAUACUGCGCGGCUAGAGUGCAGAAGGGGCAACUGGAAUUCUCGGUGUAGCGGUGAAAUGCGUAGAUAUCGAGAGGAACACCUGCGGCGAAGGCGGGUUGCUGGGCUGACACUGACGCUGAUGCGCGAAAGCCAGGGGAGCGAACGGG
RNAcentral lists this ribosomal RNA (254 nucleotides) under uncultured bacterium. RNAcentral describes it as "partial 16S ribosomal RNA". It matches the Rfam family "Bacterial small subunit ribosomal RNA", at positions 524 to 776 of the family's 1533-position model. The record is from RNAcentral.